AAACUCCAACAACUUGCCAUGCCAAAAAGAAGAUGAGAAAUGAUCUUGUAUUGAUUUAGGUCCUUUGCAUGAUUUAGAAAGCAAUUUAUCCUUAAUGCAAAGCCAUUCACUUGAUCCAUGAUCAAGAUGAAUUAGAUUUGAAUCAAGGAAGAUUAAACCUCCCUAAUCAAUGCUAACCAUCAACCUUUAACUCAUUGAUCAAAAAAAAGA
RNAcentral lists this long non-coding RNA (210 nucleotides) under Lathyrus oleraceus (garden pea). RNAcentral describes it as "Pisum sativum (pea) long non-coding RNA (PSAT_LNC029812)". The record is from RNAcentral. Lineage: Eukaryota; Viridiplantae; Streptophyta; Magnoliopsida; Fabales; Fabaceae.